Physeter macrocephalus (sperm whale) is the source of this 1748-nucleotide long non-coding RNA. RefSeq lists it as uncharacterized. The transcript has 3 exons. NCBI's taxonomy places the organism in Eukaryota, Metazoa, Chordata, Mammalia, Artiodactyla, Physeteridae. The record is from RefSeq and is a predicted model, not a curated record.
AUUGUCUGUAUUUUUUUAAAAAUUGUGGAUUUAAAUUUCUGCCUCACUUUUAGAGUUGAGAGUCAUAAAAUUAACAUAAGUCAUAAUCAUUUUAACCAAAUCAAAUCCUCAUGAGGGUAUCAUGUCCUAAUCAGGAAAGAAUAAAGAUUAUAACCUUUAAAAAUGUUAAGAUGACUGCAUCUUACUACAAAAAAGUAAGUCAAUCCCAUUAUAAUUGAAGAAAACUCGUUCACAUGGAUUUUUAAACUUUCAAUACGAAAAAGUCCCUGACUGUGUGAAGGUUGCUGUGGGUGUAUAUAACUUUGUAGCAAAGGAGAAACUUGUUAGACUAUAAUUAAUUGACAAGUGUAGGAGGAAUUUGUCUCAGUCGAUCAUUAUUCUAUUUUUCACAAUUAUAUUUAAUUGCCAUUGUAUUGUAAUGUCAAUGUUAGUCGAUGUCAAAUCUGAAAACUAUAUUCUAUCCCCAUCCAUCCCUUGGCCAAAAAAUGCAGCCACGCAUGUUUGUUGGUUACUGAUACCGAGGAAGGACAGUCUUCCAGAGGAAAUUAUCGAGCACUGUAUUUUAUCAGAUUUAAAAGGAAAGGAGGGCCAGAGGAUACUAGUGAAAAAUUGGGGAAUAGGAAACUGAAAAAGAAGUCACUGGUUUAAUUUUCUAACCAGUAAUCAGCGAGUUAUUCUGAGUGAAAACCAAAGUCUCUCAUUUCCAGGGACCACACUCAGCAGCAUCCAAGGAGUUCACGAGAAGCAAUAGUGACUCCUUCAUACAUGUGGAGAUACUUAAGUGCUCUGAGAGGGCCCUGGAGCUACUUUGCCAGGAUUCUGAAAUCCAGGUAAGGAGUCUCAGACCAAGGGAGAAGACGUGAUUUGCCCAAGAUUGCCCAAAUAGUUGGAAUUAGAAACCAGCUCUUUUGAUCCAAGUCUGACAUAUUAGUGAUGACUCUCUGAAUGAAUCAGCUUCCAUCUUUGGUGGCCUCAGUUCCUCCUAGUGGUGGCAGGCUUUAUCCAUGCUGCUGGUAAAGAUGUUCUUAAGUAGCCACAGAAUCACAUGUUCCUCGCUUACUGACUUAAUGGAAAACAUGAAAUGAAACUCAUUCCUGUCAUUUGAACAUCAGUCAGGAUGCUGAUUGCCUCUGCUUGGAUCACAUGGGCACCACCAUGAAAGUCACCAAUGCCCAAAAUGUGAGGGAUCAUGAUUGGCCAGACAUGCCUCACAUGUCCACUCUCUUUGGCCAGAGAAACCCAUCUGCUACUAAGGGCGAUGUUGGGAGAAUGUACUGGACAGACAAAAACGAUGGCGUCCUAGCUCACUGCAUUAGAAAAAAUUUUUAGAAGAUUUAAAAGGACUCAAGUAAAUAAAAGAAAACAGAUAUUGUUGAAACCUAAUUUUACACUUUUGGAAUAUUGAAAAAAAGUUGGAGAUAUUGAUUAAGCUAUUGUUUGCUCUAUUAGGUCUUAUUGCAAAUAAUGAAUAAUUGUUAUCAGCAUAGUUCACUCUCCUUUUUCCAUAAACCUCCCUCAUGACCCCCAUGAUCCAAACCUAUCCACUAAUAAUUAGCAAAGCUCACCUUUACAUUCUCUCUUUAUCCCUAUUAUUUUCAACUGUAAAACUCCAGGUAUGCAUCAGAGAAAAUUCUUAUUAAAAAAACAUUUAGGGGUUCUUAUUGUUCAUAUUCUUCCAAUUCUUUGAUAUUGCUUAUGCUUAUUACAUUAUACUAAUGAGUUAAUGAAGAAUGAGUAAUUUGCUUAGA